Callorhinus ursinus (northern fur seal) is the source of this 189-nucleotide non-coding RNA. The record is from RefSeq and is a predicted model, not a curated record. NCBI's taxonomy places the organism in Eukaryota, Metazoa, Chordata, Mammalia, Carnivora, Otariidae.
AUCGCUUCUCGGCCUUUUGGCUAAGAUCAAGUGGAGAAUGAUAUUCGCUGUGGGUUUUUCAUAGAUGGCUUUUAUGAUAUUGAGGUAUGUACCCUCUAUCCCUACACGCUUAAGAGUUUUAAUCAAGAAAGGAUUCUGUACUUUGUCAAAUGCUUUUCCUCCUCUAUUGAGAGGAUCAUAUGAUUCUUG